Molecule: RNA transcript, 2766 nt
Organism: Vespa velutina
Lineage: Eukaryota; Metazoa; Arthropoda; Insecta; Hymenoptera; Vespidae
Gene: Nfs1
Gene name: cysteine desulfurase, mitochondrial
Exons: 11
Source: RefSeq, a predicted model, not a curated record
AAUUACUUAUAAUAUUAAUAUUUUCAUUAUGUUUCGGCCGACUAGAAGUUUAAUGAUAACGUUACGGCAAGUUAAAGAUUGUCGCUCCUUCUUAAGUAGGUUUAGUCAACAAUUUUCAGAAAUCACCGAAUACGAAUCUCCUAUCACCGAUGAAUAUAAGAGAGGACCCUUGGAAGGUAGAUCGCUUUAUUUAGAUGCUCAAGCUACAACACCUAUGGACCCACGGGUAUUGGAUAAGAUGAUGUUAUAUUUUACUUCUUAUUAUGGAAAUCCACAUUCUAGAACCCAUAUGUAUGGAUGGGAAACAGAAGCUGCAAUAGAACAUGCUCGUAAACAAGUGGCAGAUCUGAUAGGUGCCGAUAAAAAAGAGAUUGUUUUUACGUCUGGUGCAACAGAAUGCAAUAACAUUGCUGUGAAGGGCGUAGCAAGGUUUUAUAAAUCAAGAAAAAAUCAUGUUAUAACAACACAAACUGAGCACAAAUGUGUAUUAGAUUCAUGCAGAGCCUUGGAGGCAGAAGGGUUUGACGUGACAUAUCUACCAGUUAAAUCAAAUGGACUUAUCGAUAUCGAUCAAUUAGAAGCCGCUAUUACGCCAGUUACAUCGCUCGUUUCUGUAAUGACGGUUAAUAAUGAAAUUGGUGUUAGACAACCUAUCGAACAGAUUGGUGCUAUUUGCAGAAAGAGAAAGGUUUUUUUUCAUACCGAUGCAGCUCAAGCCGUUGGCAAGAUACCGCUUGAUGUUAAUGCGAUGAACAUUGAUCUCAUGUCUAUUAGUGGUCAUAAAAUAUAUGGACCCAAAGGUAUUGGAGCACUCUAUGUAAGACGAAGGCCACGUGUUCGCAUUGAAGCAUUACAAAGCGGAGGUGGACAGGAACGAGGUAUGAGAAGCGGAACUGUUCCAGCACCUUUGGCUGUUGGGCUUGGUGCUGCUUGUGACUUGGCACGAUCAGAAAUGGAGUAUGACCAUAAAUAUAUUACGAAUCUUUCAAAUAUCUUGAUCGAAAAAAUUAUGUCUAAUUUACCGCAAGUUGUACGCAAUGGGGACUCAAUUGCUUGGUAUCCUGGAUGCGUUAAUUUAUCAUUUGCAUGUGUAGAAGGAGAAUCAUUACUAAUGGCACUGAAAGAAAUAGCCUUAAGUAGUGGUUCUGCAUGCACGAGUGCAAGUUUAGAACCUAGUUACGUGUUAAGAGCAAUUGGAGCAUCGGAAGAUCUGGCGCACUCUAGUAUCAGAUUCGGUAUUGGCCGGUUUACUACGCUGGAGGAAAUCGAAUAUACUGCAAAACAUACGAUUGAAGAAGUUAAGAAGCUUCGCGAUAUGAGUCCCCUGUGGGAGAUGGUCGAAGAUGGAAUCGAUUUAAAAACUAUCAAAUGGACUCAGCAUUAGUUUUUUCUUCUUCGUCAGCGUGUGAGUUAGAAGGCUCAUAUAUCGAAAUAAGCAGAGAGAAUUAAGCGUAGAGAAGAGCGCAGAAAACAGAGACAGAGCGUAAAAAAUGUACGGAAACGUUCCUACGAUUAAUCUCCACCUACGGGCUACCUACGCAUCAGGUGCAUAUAUAUGCAAACUGUCUAAAUCAUCUAUUCCAUUCAAUUGUAGACCGAGGAUGGUGAAAUAUAGAUUGAGCUUUAAUGCGUCGUUAAUGUCACUUAAAAAUUGAAGUAGUUGAAUUACCCGUUGCAUUAAACAUAAAAAUUCGAUUGGAAAAUAUUCGGAUAUUGUAUGAAUUAACAAUUAAAAUCGCAUGGUAAAGGAUAAGAGAGAGAGAGAGAGGGAGAACAAAUUUGGUCAUACUUACACGUAUUCGUCUGUCGUCGACUAUAUAUUCUUUGUCGAUAUUAUCGAGACCAAGCGUCGAUUUUCGAUCGUUACUUGCGACGAAAGAAUUGUUCGCGAAUCGCCUGAAUAUAGACGUUUUCCCAACACCAUAUUCACCACAAAGAAUGACUUUUUGCUCCGUUACUUUGACGGUAGCCAUGUCCCAUGUAAAAUCGCCUUAAGACCAAGCGAAAACAUCAGCAGUCAGGGAUCAUAUUAUGAUGUAAAAUGUACCUUCGUAAAAUGGGUACGGCAACGCGAAUUAUUUCUUUUUUUUUUUUUUUUUACUUUUUAUAUUGAAACGUUCCUCCGACCGUACGCACUUGAGGAUCUCCUAAUGCACGGAAGAAGAAGUAAUCCUACGUUAACGCGAUAGAAUAAAAAUAGUAGACGAUGGACCAUGAACUAUCGCUAUCGCAGACAAACGAUUCGAUUGCGAUAACAAUAAUUAGGAUAAAAUUUUCUUUCGUAUAAUCUAUGGAAAUGAUAUUCCAUCCGAGAUUUACAUAUGUGAUCGUUAUGCAGAUACAGCGUCAUUGUUUACAAGCAGUCGAUCGUUGCUUGUGAGAUUAGUCGAUUAAUUUAAAUUUUUACCGGCGGGACAAGUCACGGUAUACAAAGUCAUGAUAUACAAGGUAAUACAGACCUCAGCGCACACUUCGGUUAAUCUAAAUUACUUAUUUCUUAAGAAUAAGAAAUAUUACAAUAUACUCUCUAGUAUAAAAAGUGAAAAGAAAAGAAAAUAUUAUUUUAAAGAGCAAUGAGAUUUAUCGUAUUCUUGGUCCAUCUCAAAAUGGGAGAUGACGCAACCAUUAGCAAAUCGAAUAACCAGUUUUAAAUAGCAGUUUAUUUCUUAUUGAUUUCGGAAUGACACAAUGUUUCGCAAGAUGGAUUUAAUUAUAUUAUAAGAAUAAUUAUUGUCUCCUCGUUCUUAAAUAAAUAUAUAUCGUCAA